AGCGUACACGGUGGAUGCCCUGGCAGUCAGAGGCGAUGAAGGACGUGCUAAUCUGCGAUAAGCGUCGGUGAGGUGAUAUGAACCGUUAUAACCGGCGAUUUCCGAAUGGGGAAACCCAGUGUGUUUCGACACACUAUCAUUAACUGAAUCCAUAGGUUAAUGAGGCGAACCGGGGGAACUGAAACAUCUAAGUACCCCGAGGAAAAGAAAUCAACCGAGAUUCCCCCAGUAGCGGCGAGCGAACGGGGAGGAGCCCAGAGCCUGAAUCAGUGUGUGUGUUAGUGGAAGCGUCUGGAAAGGCGCGCGAUACAGGGUGACAGCCCCGUACACAAAAAUGCACAUAUUGUGAGCUCGAUGAGUAGGGCGGGACACGUGGUAUCCUGUCUGAAUAUGGGGGGACCAUCCUCCAAGGCUAAAUACUCCUGACUGACCGAUAGUGAACCAGUACCGUGAGGGAAAGGCGAAAAGAACCCCGGCGAGGGGAGUGAAAAAGAACCUGAAACCGUGUACGUACAAGCAGUGGGAGCCUCUUUAUGGGGUGACUGCGUACCUUUUGUAUAAUGGGUCAGCGACUUAUAUUCUGUAGCAAGGUUAACCGAAUAGGGGAGCCGAAGGGAAACCGAGUCUUAACUGGGCGUUAAGUUGCAGGGUAUAGACCCGAAACCCGGUGAUCUAGCCAUGGGCAGGUUGAAGGUUGGGUAACACUAACUGGAGGACCGAACCGACUAAUGUUGAAAAAUUAGCGGAUGACUUGUGGCUGGGGGUGAAAGGCCAAUCAAACCGGGAGAUAGCUGGUUCUCCCCGAAAGCUAUUUAGGUAGCGCCUCGUGAAUUCAUCUCCGGGGGUAGAGCACUGUUUCGGCAAGGGGGUCAUCCCGACUUACCAACCCGAUGCAAACUGCGAAUACCGGAGAAUGUUAUCACGGGAGACACACGGCGGGUGCUAACGUCCGUCGUGAAGAGGGAAACAACCCAGACCGCCAGCUAAGGUCCCAAAGUCAUGGUUAAGUGGGAAACGAUGUGGGAAGGCCCAGACAGCCAGGAUGUUGGCUUAGAAGCAGCCAUCAUUUAAAGAAAGCGUAAUAGCUCACUGGUCGAGUCGGCCUGCGCGGAAGAUGUAACGGGGCUAAACCAUGCACCGAAGCUGCGGCAGCGACACUAUGUGUUGUUGGGUAGGGGAGCGUUCUGUAAGCCUGUGAAGGUGGCCUGUGAGGGUUGCUGGAGGUAUCAGAAGUGCGAAUGCUGACAUAAGUAACGAUAAAGCGGGUGAAAAGCCCGCUCGCCGGAAGACCAAGGGUUCCUGUCCAACGUUAAUCGGGGCAGGGUGAGUCGACCCCUAAGGCGAGGCCGAAAGGCGUAGUCGAUGGGAAACAGGUUAAUAUUCCUGUACUUGGUGUUACUGCGAAGGGGGGACGGAGAAGGCUAUGUUGGCCGGGCGACGGUUGUCCCGGUUUAAGCGUGUAGGCUGGUUUUCCAGGCAAAUCCGGAAAACCAAGGCUGAGGCGUGAUGACGAGGCACUACGGUGCUGAAGCGACAAAUGCCCUGCUUCCAGGAAAAGCCUCUAAGCAUCAGGUAACAUCAAAUCGUACCCCAAACCGACACAGGUGGUCAGGUAGAGAAUACCAAGGCGCUUGAGAGAACUCGGGUGAAGGAACUAGGCAAAAUGGUGCCGUAACUUCGGGAGAAGGCACGCUGAUAUGUAGGUGAAGCGACUUGCUCGUGGAGCUGAAAUCAGUCGAAGAUACCAGCUGGCUGCAACUGUUUAUUAAAAACACAGCACUGUGCAAACACGAAAGUGGACGUAUACGGUGUGACGCCUGCCCGGUGCCGGAAGGUUAAUUGAUGGGGUUAGCGGUAACGCGAAGCUCUUGAUCGAAGCCCCGGUAAACGGCGGCCGUAACUAUAACGGUCCUAAGGUAGCGAAAUUCCUUGUCGGGUAAGUUCCGACCUGCACGAAUGGCGUAAUGAUGGCCAGGCUGUCUCCACCCGAGACUCAGUGAAAUUGAAYUCGCUGUGAAGAUGCAGUGUACCCGCGGCAAGACGGAAAGACCCCGUGAACCUUUACUAUAGCUUGACACUGAACAUUGAGCCUUGAUGUGUAGGAUAGGUGGGAGGCUUUGAAGUGUGGACGCCAGUCUGCAUGGAGCCGACCUUGAAAUACCACCCUUUAAUGUUUGAUGUUCUAACGUUGGCCCGUAAUCCGGGUUGCGGACAGUGUCUGGUGGGUAGUUUGACUGGGGCGGUCUCCUCCUAAAGAGUAACGGAGGAGCACGAAGGUUGGCUAAUCCUGGUCGGACAUCAGGAGGUUAGUGCAAUGGCAUAAGCCAGCUUGACUGCGAGCGUGACGGCGCGAGCAGGUGCGAAAGCAGGUCAUAGUGAUCCGGUGGUUCUGAAUGGAAGGGCCAUCGCUCAACGGAUAAAAGGUACUCCGGGGAUAACAGGCUGAUACCGCCCAAGAGUUCAUAUCGACGGCGGUGUUUGGCACCUCGAUGUCGGCUCAUCACAUCCUGGGGCUGAAGUAGGUCCCAAGGGUAUGGCUGUUCGCCAUUUAAAGUGGUACGCGAGCUGGGUUUAGAACGUCGUGAGACAGUUCGGUCCCUAUCUGCCGUGGGCGCUGGAGAACUGAGGGGGGCUGCUCCUAGUACGAGAGGACCGGAGUGGACGCAUCACUGGUGUUCGGGUUGUCAUGCCAAUGGCACUGCCCGGUAGCUAAAUGCGGAAGAGAUAAGUGCUGAAAGCAUCUAAGCACGAAACUUGCCCCGAGAUGAGUUCU
Molecule: ribosomal RNA, 2773 nt
Filed under: Escherichia coli
Lineage: Bacteria; Pseudomonadati; Pseudomonadota; Gammaproteobacteria; Enterobacterales; Enterobacteriaceae
Description: bacterial LSU rRNA
Source: RNAcentral